This 460-nucleotide ribosomal RNA is filed under the name uncultured bacterium. RNAcentral's name for it is "partial 16S ribosomal RNA". It matches the Rfam family "Bacterial small subunit ribosomal RNA", at positions 338 to 795 of the family's 1533-position model. The record is from RNAcentral.
CCUACGGGGGGCAGCAGUGAGGAAUAUUGGUCAAUGGGCGAGAGCCUGAACCAGCCAAGUCGCUUGAAGUCUUCCUUCUCUCUUUUUUUUCCCCUUCUUUUCUCUUUUCCUCCAUUGAUUAACGUGUUCCUUUUUGUAUGUACCAUAUGAAUAAGCAUCGGCUAACUCCGUGCCAGCAGCCGCGGUAAUACGGAGGAUGCGAGCGUUAUCCGGAUUUAUUGGGUUUAAAGGGUGCGUAGGUGGUUAAUUAAGUCAGCGGUGAAAGUUUGUGGCUCAACCAUAAAAUUGCCGUUGAAACUGGUUGACUUGAGUAUAUUUGAGGUAGGCGGAAUGCGUGGUGUAGCGGUGAAAUGCAUAGAUAUCACGCAGAACUCCGAUUGCGAAGGCAGCUUACUAAACUAUAACUGACACUGAAGCACGAAAGCGUGGGGAUCAAACAGGAUUAGAGAAAAGGGUAGUC